This is a long non-coding RNA of Mizuhopecten yessoensis (Yesso scallop), 3257 nucleotides long. RefSeq lists it as uncharacterized. The record is from RefSeq and is a predicted model, not a curated record. The transcript has 5 exons. Lineage: Eukaryota; Metazoa; Mollusca; Bivalvia; Pectinida; Pectinidae.
GCUGAUCAACUUUUCAAUGGGUUUAGCAAGGAACAACUGCUUUUCAAAAUUAGAGGAGUUAAGGAUUUUGGCAAGGCUACAAAGUUGCUUUUUAGACAGAUGUUUUGUCAGGAAGAGGUUGAUGGCUGCACCGCGACAGGUUUUGCUGGGAAACGGGCCAUCAACCAGAGGAAAAAAGAUGUUUUAUGUGAUAUAGUCCAAGAGAAUUUUUCAAAAGCGAGCAUCGCAGACAUCAACAGAAAGAUUGGAGACCUACUAAAACCCUCAUUUAUUUGCAAUAGAAAAUAUUAAAACUAUUGAUAAAUUUCAUGGCAUCCACGAUCUUGAUUUUUAGCUCACCUGGUCCGAAGGACCAUUGUUAGCAUUAUGGCAUUCCGCAGUGUCCGUCCGUCUAUCCAUCAACUAUUCCUUUAAAACGCCAAGUCCUGAACAGCACGUUUUCACAUGCAGAAUGUGGAAAAUUUGUGGAUUUUUUUACGCAUUUUCUACGCAAGUGCGUAAAUUUUUAUUUUUUCAAUUUUUACGCAUUUGUGGAAUUCUGAAUACUCUGCACUUGCGGAAAAAGUGUGUAAUUUACAAUGCGGAGAAUAUGCGGAAAUACUGUGGAAUUACGCAUUCAAUGCGUAAUUUGUAGGUAAGGGUACUGGAGGAGGAGAUAAUAGAGGACGCGAACGCGAACGAAAAUGUGAACGGACAACUCAGAAGGUCUGGUAGACUCAAACAAUUACCAGCUAAGUUCAAAGACUACCAAAUGUCUUAGAUCGUGAAGCGAAACGCUUUGUGAAAGUAGAACUUUUCCAGGAAUGUUGUGGACACUCGUAAUAACACUUAGUAUAAUUCUUCUAAAUCAAGUAAUUUAGGAAUUCUAGUCAGUUUCGGAAAUUGUGUUAUAUGAACUUUUGCUAUUUUUGUUUCAGGAAAAAUAAUGAACAUUGAUAAUUUGUAGCUAAGUACAAACUACAAUUACUAGUAUUGGAACUAUUGUUAAUCAUUUUUGACUGAUAUAAGAUUUUGUUUAAUCUGAUCUUAUUAGAGUUUAAAUAUGGUUAAAGUUUCUAAAUUCAGCAAUUAGCUUAAUGUUUGUUAAUUUCAUAUAAAUGUUAAGGUCAGAUACAAACUUUCGUAUUGAUAAUUAAGAUAGCGCAAAGUUUAGAAAAAGGGAAGAGAAUGUAGUAUUCGUAUACUAUAUGUUAUUGAUAACCUUAAUAAUAUCUACAGUCGUUAUCAAUUGUAUAUGUAACGUGAAUCAUUCAUGUUAUGUGACAUGCGCAAUAAACCGGAAGUUCUAUGUGUGAAGACCUUGAAUGGUGUUUGUUAUGUUAAUAACUAAAGAUUCUGAUAGUGAAACAGACCUAAUACCUGCAAGAAGACCAUAUCAGGACACUAUGAGGAGAAUGACAAAGAUUGUGAACCUUAAGCCUAACAGUGAUGUAAUGCCACCUCUGGAACUAUAAGGGGAGCUAACGAAAAAUGAAACCGCAGCGCAUGAAAUGAUCAGCAGGUAUGAUUUUGUUUUACAUUUUCACCAAAAUAUAUCAACAAUUUUACUUAAAAAUAUGCAUGAAAAAAUAUUUAACAUACAUAAAUUGUUUUUUUUUAAAAAUAUGUACAGUUUACUGUUUUAUUCUUUUUUAGGAGAUGGUCAAGACUAAACAGAUAACUUUUUGAAUUGUAAAAAAAACAAAAAAAAACAAAAAAAACAACAAAACUCAAUAAAAAAUUGACAAGCAGAUAUAUAUCUUUUUAGUUGGAAUGAGGUUUUCUGUAAAUGUUGAAAUCAAACAAACUUUCAAUUGAAACUGUUCGCCACAGUUCCCCUCCAGGCUGUACCGCUUCUACUCUAGGCUGUCCCCCUUGAGCACGUAUUUCUUCUUGCUCCUCUACAGAGGUUCCUAUAUUAGCUGGAGGCGUCUCUAUAGUGCCCAUUUCCAAAUCAUGUACUGCUUCUAACAGUUUGAAAAAAGAAUAUUUUAAACACAUAUAGUAGGAUCAAUAUUUUCAAAAAUCUCAAAUUUAUGCUAUUGCAAGUUAUUCUGUAACAUUUAUCUAUACCUUUAUGUCUCUGUCUUAGAUUGUAUAGGCGCCUCCUUAUCCUUAAAUUGUGACGUCUUACAUUCUCAGGUCUAUUGACUAGCCUUCUAUUGGGAGCUUCUCUAUUGAGAGGUUCUCUAUUGGUCAGUCUUAAACUCUCCAUAAAGUAGAUCAUGACAGCCAAUAUGAAAUCCGAAAAUAAUGAAUAUAUUUACCUCUCUUUUCUCCUACACACAAAGAAAAGGCUGAUCAUCCCGAGAAAGACUAUGAUAGUAGCUAAAAUAAGAAAAAAAGGUUUAACCAAGUAAGGGCUGUUCCAGAAAAAAAGACAUCCCCCCCUGGGACGGAAAACUUUUUUUGUUAACGUGGGUGGUUGAACAUUGAAUAAAAUCGUAGUUAUUGGUUGUUGUUGUUGUUGUAUUUUCGUUUCUGUGGGUCGUUGUACGUUGGAGAAAUAAAAAAAAAAUAUUUAAAAAAUAAAUAAAACCUGAUUAAUUAAUUUACAUGGUGGUGUGAUAUGAAAAUAUCUGGUUGAAGCUCGGAUGUAGAUUUGCAUUAUUGAAAUACGUGCUGAAACUUUGGCAGCGUGACAUUACUGUAUCGCUUGCAAGUCGCUUCCGGUAUGUGGGUCAAGGGACGCAACUUCUAUGAUAAAAAAAAUCAAUCUUGAUAGAGGGCGCUGUUAUCACUUCACAAAAAUGGCUGCCCAUUCGCGUGGUUGGAGCCCGGAAGAUGUGGGAAGAUGGAUGGCGAGGCAUGGUUUAGGCCAAUUUUCCGCCUCGUUUAUCGGUAAGAACAUUAUUAAUGUGAUGCUGACAGAUUAUAAUACUAUGUUCUUUCAUAAAUUAUGUUGAACGAUAACAUGACCCGCCAUUACUUGAUCGAUCUGUUUACAUUAAAACGCUGUCACUUCACACGUGGUCAGACUGGGCAUUUCCUCGGAAAGUCGAUACCAUCUCCAAUUUUCAGACGAUAAAAAGUCAUGAAAUAUGACGAUAAACGAAAACUGUUCAACCAAAAGUUGUUUGCAAUAACCAAUACUAGAUAUCGAUUUUUCAAUAACGAAAGUGAAAUCUUAAAUUCAGAUUUUUCAUAUCAUGAUAUAGGAAACUGAAAGUACAAAUCAAGUUGCAUUCAACCGAAAAAUACAAAGACCUCUCGCAAAGUCUCGACUUUCCAGGGAAAUGCCCAACCUGGUUGUGACUUGUUGAUCCUUCUUCCAAAUA